GAACGCACAUUGCGCCCCUUGGUAUUCCGAGGGGCAUGCCUGUUCGAGCGUCAUUACACCACUCAAGCACCGCUUGGUAUUGGGCAUCGUCCGUCGAAAGGCGGGCGUGCCUCGAAGACCUCGGCGGGGUUUCUCCAACUUCGGGCGUAGUAGAGUUAAAUCAAAACGUCUUAUAAGCUUGGUGAGAUCUCAUUGCCGUUAAACCUUUUAUUUUUCAGGUUGACCUCGGAUCAGGUAGGGAUACCCGCUGAACUUA
RNAcentral lists this unclassified non-coding RNA (256 nucleotides) under Endoconidioma populi. RNAcentral describes it as "sequence contains 5.8S rRNA gene". The stretch from base 1 to 53 matches the Rfam family "5.8S ribosomal RNA", at positions 102 to 154 of the family's 154-position model. Lineage: Eukaryota; Fungi; Ascomycota; Dothideomycetes; Dothideales; Dothideaceae. The record is from RNAcentral.